GCUCCCUCCCCAGCAGUUCCCCCACCUCCCCAAACACGCUCAAGGAACUGCUCCCACAGCCCCGAAUAGGUACGGCCCCCUACACUCGGAACUGACGUCAAAGAGCGAGAGAUGAACUCGGAGAGCGCUAGAGCGCAAGCGCAAGAAAGUGCAAGAGGCUGACUCAGAGCAGGACGCAUGCGUACAGCAGGCAAAAGACUUGACCGGGUUUCUGUGCCUCUGAAUCCACAUCUGCAAAAUGGAAACAGAGCUGUGUCACCAAGCUAUUGGACUUUUUAAUGUUAAACAGAACACUUUAUAUCAAUUAAACAUUCUGUGACUCCAAAUACUAACCCUACCUGCUCAUCAUAUACAGUAUGUGCAAUUAAGUAGGGAUUGGACUUCUAUGGGGUAAUUUGGGCCUGCAAAGGCCUUAAAAUCGCCCUGUAAGAAAAGAGCUUUGCACAGAUCCUGGCCCACUUGUUAGCUAGUGUACUAGGCCCUAUGAGACAUCUGUCUCCCAGAACUUUCUCAUAGGUUGGGUAGGGCCUGCUGUCCUCAAUUUGGGUUCCAGUGUGCCACGGAGCUUGGCAAGUAACACAUUGGUUAGUGCAUACUUCUAGGAGGCAUAGCUGGGAAGUGAAGAAUCUUAGGUCCCCCUAAGUCUGUGAGAGUGAUGCAGAGGCAAGUAUGGCUCAGAGGCGGGCCUUAGGUUCCCCAGAGGUAAACCUAAUACUGGAACUCGACCUCAGCUAAUGGGUUUUCCGCUUGGAACUUGCUGUUCUGUAUUCCUUCUUCAUGGGCUUCCCCCAUCACAGCCCUGACCAUUUUAGUGUCUUACUGUCUGGUGAUAGGUCUGUCUCCUCCACUGCACAGAGCGCCCCACCAGGGAAAAGACCGGGACUGUCCCAGUCAUCACUGUGUAGCUAACACUGCCCAGCCAAAGUUCUGGCACAGAGUAUGCUCUUGCAGAUUUUUUGUUUCAAGAAUUAACCCGGGGCGCCUGGGUGGCUCAGUCCGUUAAGCGUCUGACUUCAGCUCAGGUCACGAUCUCACAGUCCAUGAGUUCGAGCCCCACGUCGGGCUCUGGGCUGAUGGCUCAGAGCCUGGAGCCUGCUUCUGAUUCUGUGUCUCCCUCUCUCUCUGCCCCUCCCCUGUCUCUCUCUGUCUCAAAAAUAAAUAAACGUU
Molecule: long non-coding RNA, 1167 nt
Organism: Acinonyx jubatus (cheetah)
Lineage: Eukaryota; Metazoa; Chordata; Mammalia; Carnivora; Felidae
Exons: 3
Source: RefSeq, a predicted model, not a curated record